AGAAAGGAACCAUCUCUGCUCCUCAAGAUUCUAGCCUCCAAGGAGAAAGAUUCUGCCUGGCACGUUUCCUUUAAUGCCAACCUCUGUCACACAAGUCAUGGAUCCUAGACAACUCUGAGAGGCUCAUAACCAAAAAAAAAAAAAGUAGGAUAAGACAUGAAAAAGCAGGCACCAAUCAUUUGGGAAAUGGAUGAAUAAAUUGUGGUACAUUAAUGAAAUGGAACAUCAUUGUGUUGCACAAAACAUUGAAGGUUUACAUUCAAAACUCAUGUUUACCUUUGUUGACAUUCAUCUGCUUUCCAAGUAUAUGGUUGGUAUAUUGAGAGACUGACAGACAAAGAGAGAAAGAAAAACUGAAAAAGUGCCCCAGAUGGAGACAGAAACAGAAGAGUCAAAAAAGAGGAAGAGUUCAGAGAGACUGGGAUAUAGAGACAAAGGCAAGAAAAAGACACUAAAAUAGCUAAAUCUUGCACU
RNAcentral lists this long non-coding RNA (474 nucleotides) under Monodelphis domestica (gray short-tailed opossum). RNAcentral describes it as "lncRNA (ENSMODG00000043814.1)". Lineage: Eukaryota; Metazoa; Chordata; Mammalia; Didelphimorphia; Didelphidae. The record is from RNAcentral.